RNAcentral lists this ribosomal RNA (435 nucleotides) under uncultured bacterium. RNAcentral describes it as "partial 16S ribosomal RNA". It matches the Rfam family "Bacterial small subunit ribosomal RNA", at positions 28 to 507 of the family's 1533-position model. The record is from RNAcentral.
GAUGAACGCUGGCGGUAUGCUUAACACAUGCAAGUCGAACGGACUCUUCGGAGUUAGUGGCGGACGGGUGAGUAACGCGUGAGAAUCUGGCUUUGGGUUCGGGACAACCACUGGAAACGGUGGCUAAUACCGGAUGUGCCGAGAGGUAAAAGAGAAAUUGCCUGAAGAUGAGCUCGCGUCUGAUUAGCUAGUUGGUGAGGUAAAGGCUCACCAAGGCAGCGAUCAGUAGCUGGUCUGAGAGGACGACCAGCCACACUGGGACUGAGACACGGCCCAGACUCCUACGGGAGGCAGCAGUGGGGAAUUUUCCGCAAUGGGCGAAAGCCUGACGGAGCAAUACCGCGUGAGGGAAGAAGGCUCUUGGGUUGUAAACCUCUUUUCUUAGGGAAGAACAAAAUGACGGUACCUAAGGAAUCAGCAUCGGCUAACUCCGUG